RNAcentral lists this ribosomal RNA (497 nucleotides) under uncultured bacterium. RNAcentral describes it as "partial 16S ribosomal RNA". It matches the Rfam family "Bacterial small subunit ribosomal RNA", at positions 28 to 507 of the family's 1533-position model. The record is from RNAcentral.
GAUGAACGCUGGCGGCGUGCCUAAUACAUGCAAGUCGAGCGAACAGAUGAGGAGCUUGCUCCUCUGACGUUAGCGGCGGACGGGUGAGUAACACGUGGAUAACCUACCUAUAAGACUGGGAUAACUUCGGGAAACCGGAGCUAAUACCGGAUAAUAUAUUGAACUGCAUGGUUCAAUAGUGAAAGACGGUUUUGCUGUCACUUAUAGAUGGAUCCGCGCCGCAUUAGCUAGUUGGUAAGGUAACGGCUUACCAAGGCAAGGAUGCGUAGCCGACCUGAAAGAGAGAUGCGCCAGCCGGGAACAGAGACAGGGUACAGACAACUACGGGAGGAAGCAGUGGGGAAUCUUCCGCAAGGGACGAAAGGGUAAUGGAGCAAAACCGCGGGAAGGAUGAAGUACUUAGGCCCGUAGAACGCUGUUGUUAGUAAGAAAGAAAAGGGCAAGUAACGAUGACGGUAAUGACGGUACCCGAACAAAAAGCCACGGCUAACUUCGUG